RNAcentral lists this long non-coding RNA (233 nucleotides) under Elaeis guineensis (African oil palm). RNAcentral describes it as "long non-coding RNA (EGUI_LNC055479)". Lineage: Eukaryota; Viridiplantae; Streptophyta; Magnoliopsida; Arecales; Arecaceae. The record is from RNAcentral.
AAAGGAACCUCUAGAUAUAGUUAACAUGUGAUUCAGUCCCUCUAUCGUGAGUCUCGACUAGAUGGCAAGUCAUGGAUAAAUCGUCAAAACUCAACAUCAGUCAUAUGAUAAAUUUAAUUAGCUCAAAUCCAGUUGUGACUUCUAUGGAAACUCUUUUUCAUCAAUCACACUACUAUGGCCAUAGACUCUUGGACUUAGCCUUUUAAAUCUCAUAGGACUACUCCUCUCUAUCA